GAUGAACGUUGACAGAAUGCUUAACACAUGCAAGUCAACUUGAAUUUGGGUUUUUAACUUAGGUUUGGGUGGCGGACGGGUGAGUAACGCGUAAAGAACUUGCCUCACAGCUAGGGACAACAUUUGGAAACGAAUGCUAAUACCUAAUAUUAUGAUAAUAGGGCAUCCUAUAAUUAUGAAAGCUAUAAGCGCUGUGAGAGAGCUUUGCGUCCCAUUAGCUAGUUGGAGAGGUAACGGCUCACCAAGGCGAUGAUGGGUAGCCGGCCUGAGAGGGUGAUCGGCCACAAGGGGACUGAGACACGGCCCUUACUCCUACGGGAGGCAGCAGUGGGGAAUAUUGGACAAUGGACCGAGAGUCUGAUCCAGCAAUUCUGUGUGCACGAUGAAGUUUUUCGGAAUGUAAAGUGCUUUCAGUUGGGAAGAAACAAAUGACGGUACCAACAGAAGAAGUGACGGCUAAAUACGUG
RNAcentral lists this ribosomal RNA (467 nucleotides) under uncultured bacterium. RNAcentral describes it as "partial 16S ribosomal RNA". It matches the Rfam family "Bacterial small subunit ribosomal RNA", at positions 28 to 507 of the family's 1533-position model. The record is from RNAcentral.